RNAcentral lists this unclassified non-coding RNA (102 nucleotides) under uncultured fungus. RNAcentral describes it as "sequence contains ITS1". The record is from RNAcentral. Lineage: Eukaryota; Fungi.
CAAAUUAUUGUGAACCUCGCAUUUCACGAGGUCUUGCGUCCAUUUUCGUAUUUAAAACAUCCUACUUCUUUAAAAAAUAUUUAUCUAAAUAAUAAAAAAAGA